ACAAUAACCUUUCUCAGCAUGUUUUUCUUUUUCUGGUAGCUGGCCCUUUAAAUGUGGGAAAGACAAGCAGCUGCAGUCCUAAAGUGGUCAUUUUAAUCUGGCAGUUGCAGGCUUUGAUUUUCUCUCUCCUGGCUGAUCUGAGCAGCCUUUGGACUCGUCAUUGCCGAUCCAUCUGUGGAAGGCAUCACACAACAGUCACUUAAAUCAGAGUGAGUCCCGCGCCGCCGACCCUUCGCUGGCUGUGAUGUGCUGUUGUGUUUGGAACAAGUCUCUGUUUAGUCUGUCAGUAGCAGUACCCCAGCUUCCGGCUUGGGAAAGAGCAGCAGCCUAUUAUAAUCAUACUCAGCAUGACGGCACUGGCCAGAUGCGAACGCAGAACCCACAGAGGAUCUGGGAUAAUACGUUUGGUCCUUGGAGAACUGGAAUAUAAGACUGGGUGGUGGCACCUACACUGGCAGAAAGCAACGUGCCCUGUAGCUGAUUUGUCUAUUAGUAUUAGACGUUAAAAUAAAAUCUAAGAUUACAAAUU
Long non-coding RNA from Chelonia mydas (Green sea turtle), 529 nucleotides. RefSeq lists it as uncharacterized. Lineage: Eukaryota; Metazoa; Chordata; Testudines; Cheloniidae. The record is from RefSeq and is a predicted model, not a curated record. The transcript is spliced from 4 exons.